CCAAUUCACCCAAUCACUGUUGUGUGUAGUUUGGACCUAAAAGAGAUUUUUUUGUUGGUGAUUCUUCUUUCUUUCUUCCCCGAGCUAUGGUUAUGGUGUCUGUUGACACUUCACACUGCUCAAAGAGGAAGGAACAAGAAGAAAACAAGGAAAUUGCAGAGAGAGAGAGAGAGAGAGAGAGAUAAGUCAGAGAUCGCAGAUGCACACUGUCCAUCCAAAGUAGAAAAAUUUUGAGAAACAAAGGAGGUUUGUGGCCUUGUCAUCCAUGGUUAGUUGCACAUUGGGAAUAUCUCUCUUGUUCCGGAUCAGGUACGUAGCUACGCACAGCAGCUGGUUUCCAACACCACUACAGCAGCUGCUCUGUUCUUUCAUGCAUGCAGAGCUCUGAUCAGUUUUUGAAAUUAUCUCCUCUAAUUAACUCUAAGAAAUGAUCUCAACUUCUGGGUUCUUGGACACUACACUAACUGAUCAAUGUGGUAUCUCUAAGGAACUUUUCGUUUUCAUCCUCAAGAUGUCAGCUGCUCAAGUAUCAAACUUCCAGGUUGGCCAAAGUCAGAACUUACAAAGUUCAACCAUUAUGUUAAGUGGAUUUGCAUUGGAAGACGUGCUACAUUAUCUGAGAAAGUGAUUUUUUUAAAAUUCCUUGUACUUUUAUAUGUCAAUUGGAU
Nelumbo nucifera (sacred lotus) is the source of this 668-nucleotide non-coding RNA. The record is from RefSeq and is a predicted model, not a curated record. NCBI's taxonomy places the organism in Eukaryota, Viridiplantae, Streptophyta, Magnoliopsida, Proteales, Nelumbonaceae.